UCGGAAUGAGUACRCUUUAARUCCUUUAACAAGGAUCCAUUGAAGGGCAAGUCUGGUGCCAGCAGCCGCGGUAAUUCCAGCUUCAAWAGCGUAUAUUAAAGUUGUUGCGGUUAAAAAGCUCGUAGUUGGUUCUGCGUGCUACGCUGUCGGUUCGCCGCCUGCCGGUGUAACUGGCAUGCCGUGGCAUGUCCUGCCGGUGGCGUGCGGGAGCCUCGUCAGGUGACGGCCCGGGUUCGCUCGGUGCCGUAGGCCGGAGGACCAACCCGUGCGCCUACUCUAUCCUACCUAGGUGCUCUUCACCGAGUGUCGAGGUAGGCCGGUACGUUUACUUUGAACAAAUUAGAGUGCUCAAAGCAGGCUGAAAUCUCUGCCUGAAUAGUGGUGCAUGGAAUAAUAAAACAGGACCUUGGUUCUAUUUUGUUGGUUCUUAGGAACACAAGGUAAUGAUCAAUACGGACAGGCGGGGGCAUUCGUAUUGCGACGUUAGAGGUGAAAUUCUUGGAUCGUCGCAAGACGCACAAGAGCGAAAGCAUUUGCCAAGUAUGUCUUGAUUGAUCAAGAACGAAAGUUAGAGGUUCGAAGGCGAUCAGAUACCGCCCUAGUUCUAACCAUAAACGAUGCCAGCCAGCGAUCCGCCGAUGUUCCUCCGAUGACUCGGCGGGGAGCUUCUUCCCGGGAAACCAAAGCUUUUGGGUUCCGGGGGAAGUAUGGUUGCAAAGCUGAAACUUAAAGGAAUUGACGGACCACCAGGAGUGGAGCCUGCGGCUUAAUUUGACUCAACACGGGAAACCUCACCAGGCCAGGACAUUGGAAGGAUUGACAGAUUGAUAGCUCUUUCUUGAUUCAGUGGGUAGUGGUGCAUGGCCGUUCUUAGUUGGUGGAUCGAUUUGUCUGGUUAAUUCCGAUAACGAACGAGACUCUAGCCUAUUAACUAGGCGUUUUCCGGUGUCCCCGCCACCGGCGACAAUCAUUCUUCUUAAGGGGACAGGCGGCUUAUAGCCGCACGAGAUUGAGCAAUAACAGGUCUGUGAUGCCCUUAGAUGUCCUGGGCCGCACGCGCGCUACACUGAAGGAAUCAGCGUGUGCCUCCCAGGCCGAAAGGCCCGGGUAAUCCGCUGAACCUCCUGCGUGCUAGGAAUUGGGGCUUGCAAUUGUUCCCCAUGAACGAGGAAUUCCCAGUAAGCGCGAGUCAUAAGCUCGCGUUGAUUACGUCCCUGCCCUUUGUACACACCGCCCGUCGCUACUACCGAUUGAAUGAUUUAGUGAGGUCUUCGGACUGGCGGUAAUCCCUA
Molecule: ribosomal RNA, 1292 nt
Filed under: Hyalopeplus lineifer
Lineage: Eukaryota; Metazoa; Arthropoda; Insecta; Hemiptera; Miridae
Description: SSU rRNA
Rfam family: Eukaryotic small subunit ribosomal RNA
Source: RNAcentral